UCUCUGUGCUGUCUUAAUAGCUCCUACUUAGCCUUUGCUGUGUGCUCAGUAGAAUAGAAGGGAGGAAACCUACAGCUGAGAGA
Athene cunicularia (burrowing owl) is the source of this 83-nucleotide small nucleolar RNA. The record is from Ensembl. Lineage: Eukaryota; Metazoa; Chordata; Aves; Strigiformes; Strigidae.